Molecule: ribosomal RNA, 292 nt
Filed under: uncultured bacterium
Lineage: Bacteria
Description: partial 16S ribosomal RNA
Rfam family: Bacterial small subunit ribosomal RNA
Source: RNAcentral
GUGCCAGCAGCCGCGGUAAUACGUAGGGGGCGAGCGUUGUCCGGAUUUAUUGGGCGUAAAGAGCGCGUAGGCGGCCAGGUAGGUCCGACGUGAAAUCUCGAGGCUCAACCUCGAGCGGUCGUUGGAUACCGCCUGGCUAGAGUCCGGAAGAGGAGAGUGGAAUUCCUGGUGUAGCGGUGAAAUGCGCAGAUAUCAGGAAGAACACCCAUGGCGAAAGCAGCUCUCUGGGACGGUACUGACGCUGAGGCGCGAAAGCGUGGGGAGCGAACAGGAUUAGAAACCCCAGUAGUCC